UGAGCAAUCUGCCCUUCUCAUCGGAAUAAGCGUUGGAAACGACGUCUAAUGCCGAAUACGACCUCCUUUCGCAUGAUCGGAGGUGGAAAGUUCCGGCGGAGAAGGAUGAGCUCGCGGCCUAUCAGCUAGUUGGUGUGGGUAAUGGCCCACAAGGCGACGACGGGUAGCCGGCCUGAGAGGGUGACCCGGCCACACGUGGGACUGAGACACGGCCCAGACCUCCGUACGGGAGGNAG
This 236-nucleotide ribosomal RNA is filed under the name uncultured bacterium. RNAcentral's name for it is "partial 16S ribosomal RNA". It matches the Rfam family "Bacterial small subunit ribosomal RNA", at positions 118 to 351 of the family's 1533-position model. The record is from RNAcentral.